AUACGUAGGGUGCGAGCGUUAAUCGGAAUUACUGGGCGUAAAGCGUGCGCAGGCGGUUUUGUAAGUCAGAUGUGAAAUCCCCGGGCUUAACCUGGGAACUGUGUUUGAAACUGCAAGGCUAGAGUGUGGCAGAGGGGGGUGGAAUUCCGCGUGUAGCAGUGAAAUGCGUAGAUAUGUGGAGGAACACCGAUGGCGAAGGCAGCCCCCUGGGUCAACACUGACGCUCAGGCACGAAAGCAUGGGGAGCAAACAGGAUUAGAAACCCGUGUAGUCC
RNAcentral lists this ribosomal RNA (274 nucleotides) under uncultured bacterium. RNAcentral describes it as "partial 16S ribosomal RNA". It matches the Rfam family "Bacterial small subunit ribosomal RNA", at positions 523 to 796 of the family's 1533-position model. The record is from RNAcentral.